GGUGUCUCAAUGGUAGAGCGCUUGCCUUGCAUGCAUGAGGCCGUGGUUCAAUUCCUCAGCACCA
RNAcentral lists this transfer RNA (64 nucleotides) under Dipodomys ordii (Ord's kangaroo rat). It matches the Rfam family "tRNA". From Rfam's summary of the family: Transfer RNA (tRNA) molecules are approximately 80 nucleotides in length. Their secondary structure includes four short double-helical elements and three loops (D, anti-codon, and T loops). Lineage: Eukaryota; Metazoa; Chordata; Mammalia; Rodentia; Heteromyidae. The record is from Rfam by way of RNAcentral.